UAGGGAAUCUUCGGCAAUGGGGGCAACCCUGACCGAGCAACGCCGCGUGAGUGAAGAAGGUUUUCGGAUCGUAAAGCUCUGUUGUAAGAGAAGAACGUGUGUGAGAGUGGAAAGUUUACACAGUGACGGUAACUUACCAGAAAGGGACGGCUAACUACGUGCAG
Molecule: ribosomal RNA, 164 nt
Filed under: uncultured bacterium
Lineage: Bacteria
Description: partial 16S rRNA
Rfam family: Bacterial small subunit ribosomal RNA
Source: RNAcentral